UCAGCCCCGCCGCCGCCUCCCCUCACAGAUCCCCUAGCCGCGCCGCCGCCUCGCAGAGCCCCCAGCCCCGCCGCCAGGAGUUCAGCGCGGGGAACCGCACGAGUGCCGGCUGCCGCAUCGAGACGACCGCUGAUUCGCCGCCUCCUCUCCAGCUCCGGCUCGUCGCCGAGCUCCGGCAGGAGGUGCACGGACCACGGCCGCCGCAACGCCGAGCUCUGCCGCCAUGGAUAUGGCGGACGACAUCGGCCUCGCCACCCUCCACCCGCACCUCGAUGCCUCCUCCAUGGCCGCCGCGUUCCCCAAACCCAAGGGCGGUGCCGCCUCUUGCCUUGGACACGCGCCUCGCGGAUCUCUGCCAGGUCAGAUCUUCCUGCGCCACUGCUGAAAUCAUUUCGGCGUUCCGGUGGGAAUUCGCUGUCUGACGGUUGGUGGUUUGAUGCACGAACUGGGAGUGGACAAGGGCGUCGCCAGCGAGGCCGCGGCGUUGCUGGAGGAGGGGAAGGGCGUUCUUCUCACACCGUCUUCGUUUGGGAGCAAAUCGCCCCAGGAUGUGGAGAGGCUGUGCUUCGCUUUUGUGUUGUACUGCGCAGCUAGGCUGAAGGGGAUGAAGGAGGGGAGCUCCAGGGUUAGGCUGUGGAAGAUCUUGGAGGGUUGUAACCUCAAUUACGAUGACUUUUUCAAGGAAUCACAGCAGUUUCGUUCCAAGAUUGAUCAAAUUUUACGGAGCCGGUAUGGAUCUGAUUGGGAAGAUCAGCUAGAGCUGAAACAGUUGCAGAGUUUGGUAAAUCUGUUGGCAGAUGCAAGCAGGAUGUGAUUUCUUUUGGUAAGGGUGAUUAAGCAUGAGUUGCAGCACCGCCUGAAGGUUUGCACACGGUUUGCACACGCCAUGUUUGUUGUAAUGCUCACUAAAGGUGUGAGAACCAGGAUGCAAACUCUGUAUGGCGGGUUAGUUUCCCUUCCAAUAUUUGCCAGAAAAAACUGUUCUGGUCCAAUUGCAACCUGUAUACCAAGCUUGAAGAAAUUAAGAAACCAAGGAAAUAUGUUCACACAGUUGGAUGCCAAGUGUCAUGUGUCCCAUCAUUUGAAAUAAGACUUGUUUACGCAGCCCAAGUUUUCUUCCUCGCAUGCGCAAUGAGCGCGCAGGCCGUGAGCGCCACCUCGCUAUCGUGGAUACAUCCAGAGGGCUCAGCAUGUACAACAGUUGCACAAUCACUCUCAAAAUUAACUGGUGUGUGAAACUAGGAGCAGAAAGACCAAUGCCUUCUUUCAGAGUACGAAGUUCAGCUUUAUCAGCGUUCACGCAAUUUCCAAAGGUGUGGGCAGCCAAGAAGAUUAUGCCGUAGCCUGAAUUUUUAGCCACUACACCAACACUGAUGAGGCUGGUUUCCCCAGUUGCUGCAGAAAAGUAGGAUGAGUAAGAGCUCCGAUACUGAACAUAGAUUGUAAGUCUGCCUACAGUUUUAGUGUGCUUUUAUGACCCUCAGAUAGUUGUAGGAAACUGUAAAGUUGUGUCUUAAAUUCCAGACUAUCUUUUAGAUGCAUUCUGAUAGUGACUGCUAUUUCAUGUUUCAUACAAAAAAGUGAUUGCUAUUUUAUAUUUAGGUUCCUGGAACUUCCUCAGUUCCUAUAAUGAUUACUAUUUCACAUGAAACCCAAUAUCGUUAUGAAGUUGUUCCUGGUAGACUCUGGUAUGGUAUCAAUCGUUCUUUAGUGGUAAAUUCUUGCAUACCAUUUCAAAAUACAAAAAAGCUCACCAAUUACGUUCAUAAUCUACAGACAAACCCAAUGUUGACAACCUGCAGGGAAAACAUUGCAAAUUAAAUUGUUUUUACAGAGGUUAACAACCCCCAUAAUUGGAGGCAUCACUCGUGCAAGGAUUUCAGGAGAAGGACAUAGACCAAUAGAAACACCUACAGAUGCCCUCACUGCCCACGUAUAGAAGGAAGACCAACAUAAUCUUAUAACAGAGGAACUAUUAAUAGAGUUAUCUCUUUGUCUUUGUUUGAAACUAACUAAUACCACUGCUGGCACCAAGGAAUUCUGUACCAACCACUACAUGGCCAAGAAUAAGGGCAUGGCAGCGAUGCGCGUGGGUCGUGAGCCUGGUCUCGCUCGGAGUGUAGGAGUUCCAGUAGGACUUGCUUCGGGCUCUUGGCCGCGUGCACAGGCUGCGGGAGGUGCACCAGGCGGCCGGGAUUGUGACCGGGUGAGAGGUGCUUCAGAACUGGAGCAGAGUAUGCUCCAAGUGUUUUACUGUUCCUGAUAUUUACGUUCAGUAUUUUAGCAAGUGCUCUUCCUCAUGUCGAAGCUACAUCCUUUUUCUUAUUUUUCUGAAUACCUCUCUUCUUCCUCAGAACAAGUUCACCAGUCUGAUUCUUUUCUAUGAAAUUAACAUAAAAAAUGAUCGCAUAUGCUGCGACAAUGCACUGCCUAUGUAGAUGAUUAUUUUAGGUUCCUUUCUUUCUUUUGUUGCUCUUGACAAAAUCAACAACCGUUAGUUGCUAUAAUAUAUUUUCCUAAAAUUUCCCUGGUUGUAUAUAAAUGUUAGAUCUCUGUAAUUUAUUGUGGUUCGCUACCUUUUGUAAAUCCUAAGAAAAAUUAUUACCAUUUUCAUGUACACACGAUUUACACGGGGUCGUGCGCCAAGGCGCACAUCAAAAUCUAG
Lolium perenne is the source of this 2665-nucleotide RNA transcript. It is a transcript of the gene named retinoblastoma-related protein 2-like, with no coding region annotated. Lineage: Eukaryota; Viridiplantae; Streptophyta; Magnoliopsida; Poales; Poaceae. The record is from RefSeq and is a predicted model, not a curated record.